RNAcentral lists this transfer-messenger RNA (693 nucleotides) under Patescibacteria group. Its description in RNAcentral is "VMTK01 sp013791585 Standard tmRNA". It matches the Rfam family "transfer-messenger RNA". Rfam says of the family: Bacterial tmRNA, also known as 10Sa RNA or SsrA, is named for its dual tRNA and mRNA-like properties. Its role is to liberate the mRNA from a stalled ribosome. RNAcentral also lists the same sequence under 2 other names. The record is from RNAcentral.
GGGGAUGCCAGGCAUCGAUAAUAAAAUUUUUUAAAAGCAUUCGGAAUGCGUGUCUCAGCUGCCGCAUAAAUCGCGCUGAAUUAAAAUAAGUGCAAAAAACUUAUUUGCCAAGGCAAAGGAUACUUUUACAAUAAAAGUUCCCGCCAUGGUACCUGUUAUGGCCUAAAAGCCGUAGCCAUCCGCCCGGCGAUUCCUAAUAGCCGCCAGCAGGUGUCAUAUUAUCCCCGCACCUUUUAAGCAUUAAAUAUGUAUUAUGUUUAUACUUUAAAAAGUUUAAAAGAUAGAAAAUUGUAUAUUGGCUAUACUAGUGAUUUAAGAAAAAGAUUUAAACAACAUUUGGAUGGGAAAGUACAAUCUACCAGAGGAAGAAGGCCGUUAGUAUUGGCUUAUUAUGAGGCAUACAAAUCCAAAGAGGAUGCAAAAGAGCGCGAAAAGCAGCUUAAACAUUUUGGGAAAUCUUAUAGUCAGUUAAAAAGAAAAAUAAGAAGAAGUAUCAUUGAUGCUUAAAAGGUGCGGGGUAUUAGGAUAGGUUAACGGAAUAUUCUUGGCUGUUAUCCGAAACCAAAAGAAUUAAUUGCUUAUCAGUUUUGUUUGGUUUUAAUGAUAGCAAUGAAUAAAACAAAUCAAACUAUUUCCGUAAAAUUGUUUUUAAUGAUUUAUUAGACGCGGGUUCAAUUCCCGCCAUCUCCACAU